GAUGUAGUUUUUAUUUUUUUAUUUUUUUACUUGCAAAAUUAAGAAAAUACAAAGACACAUAUAUGAUCAUCAGGUGGUCUGGGAGCCAGUAACGUGACCUUCAGCUCCUUGUUUUUACAUUAUUACAGCGGAAAUCACAUAUAUACGUAAAUAAAGCUACGUAGUUGGAGGAGAGUGUACGAAGAUCUGUUUAUUAUAUAAGUAAUGCAUGAGCAGGGGAGAAUUAAGUAUGGAUGGUAAAAGGUAGAUGAAAAUAAUUAAUAGUUUAGUUUCGUACAAAUGUGCGCGGGUAGUAGAAGAUGGACGGACGGAUGGGUGGACGGAUAGAGGAUGAGGGCCUAUAUAUGUAUAUAUAUGAGUUUAAGUUUUAAUGGAAAUGCCAAACUGGGGAGCUUGAAUUAGGAGAUCUUUGAGCUCUUCGAAGGAGAUUUUGUUUUCUCCCUUUUUACUGCCGUAGGCAAUGGCACGUUCAGCCAUGAAACUUGGAGUAAGAGCACCCAGAUCGUCGAACAGCUGCUUCAGCUCUUCCUUGUUUAUAGUUUUGUCGUCGUUCGUAGCCAACCCUUCGAACAUCAUCUUCAACUCGUCAAUCUUCACGUUUUGGCUUAUCAGUGCCCGUCUUCUUGCCAAACGAGCCAUUUCUUCUUCGUCUCUUCCUUAAUUCUCUCUCUCUUUUCUUUGCUUAUCUAAUCUUUGCCUGAUUUGCUGUAUACUUGCAUGGCGCAAGUCUUUAUAUAACCAUCCUCAAGUGCAUGCAUCAACGUUACUUUCUAAAUUUCUAAGCGGAAGUCUCUAGAAGAUAAGUUUAAAUUUUAUUACACGCAUACAUUAAUUAUAAAAUAAUUAUUUAAUAAAAAAUAUAUAAAUAAAGUAUUAUUAAGUGUUAAAUAUUAGAGAUAAAGUGAAAUUACGUGUUUUUAUCUCUAUUAAAUAAAGUAUUAUUUAGUAUACGAGGGAAGUAAUUUAAAAAUUUAGAAAAAAAAUAAUAAUAAUAAUAUUUUAAAAUAUUAUUGUAAUUUGUAAUUAAUUAUAUAAUCUGAAUUAGAAAAGAAACGUCGCCGUUUGAUGUUAUUUGUCGAAGUUGGAAAGAAUAAAAAGUAGAGAUUAGUUUUGUGAAGUGAGAAUCUUAGAAAAAGCAGAUGCUUGAGUUACUUGUUGGAACAAGUGGAGAGGAGGUGGCAUCAUUCAUUGCGUCCUCAACAAUAUUACUCCAUCCCGAAAAGAAAUUCCAAGAAAAUUAAUCGCUCAAAUCUUAUUUAAGCAAUUAAUUAAUUAAAAAUAAACCUUCUAGAACAGUUCUCACAUAGUAUAUAACAGUUUUUACUUUUAACUUAACAAUUUCUAUAUAAUAAUUACGUACAAGAGAUGAUAUAGACAUGUAGGAGAAUCCUUUGGGUGGAGAAUAAUUAAAGGUGCACCGAGUUGUUGUUAUCUUGUAAGAUUCUUUCAUCACCACCUUUCGGUUUUUGUAUUUUUUUGUUUGAUUUAAUUUGAUUCUAUUCGAUUAUAAAGAUAUCAUUUUUUUCGGUUUAAUUUUGUAGACACGAAUAAAUAAAUUAAUUGUCACUAUCUAUUUCAAUAUGCGAUUUUUAAGAAUGAGUGAUUCAAAUAAAUUUACUUAAAUAAUAAUAUAAGUAGGAUUUUUUUGUAAAAAAAAGAAAAUACAAUCCUAAAGUAUUAUAAACUCUUUCUAAAAAAAAAACAAGUUUGUAAUUUGAUUAUAAAAUUUAUAAAAAUCGAAUAUAAAAAUUUACUUCACUAAAUUAACGUAGUAAUUUAAGUAUUAAGUGAUUUUCAACCAAUUUAACAAUGUUUUGCACUUUCUGCGAUUUUUACUAAAUUAUGAGUUAAAAUUAUCCUUAUAUUCUAUACAUAUAACUUAACUAAAGCAAUCGAGAUAUAUUCAACCAUAUCGAUUAAUUGAAGCAUCAAAUUUCAAUUUGUAAAACUCCAUUUGACUGAGGAGACCAUACUCAUUGGUGGAUCGAUGCCUUUACUUGAACAAGCAUCCCCUAAAACAAAUCCUCUACCCAAAGGCUUACCCCUCCAUAACACUAAGACAGAUACACAUACGUGAAAGAUAUGAUCGAUGGUCUAUAACGCUUCCCCAUGCAUCAAACAUAUAGGGUUGACUUGGACACCUUUUUCAUUCAACCUAAUUUGCACUACUAAUAUGUCUUUGUAGAGUCUCCAAAUUAUAUGCUUGACUAGAGGCCAAACCCAGUAUAAUGCUACAUAUGUUAGUUGGUUUCUUUUAUAUAUACAUAAGUCAUAUUUGUUGUAACAAAGUAUUUAUGUUGACAUAUAAGUGCUUUUUAAGAAAGACCAUUUGUGCUUGAAUGAAAGAUAUACAAGUUGGUAUUCGUCAUCAAUAUAAUUCAUGUUUUAUCUUUCAAAUUUUAGAUGUGAAUCUACAAAACAAUUGCUUUUCUUUUCAAGAAAAAGGAUUUAAAAAAUCUACGAGUUGGUGUUCAAAUUUUAACUUCAAUUUAAUUUGAAGGUUUUCAUUUCUCUUUUUCUUUAAUUUUCAUUUAUUCCUUUGUUGUUCGUUCCCUUAGUGUGUUCCUUUCUCUCUUUCGUUUGGCUUUCAUUCCAUUUUCUUUCCUCCAUCGCCAGGGCAGCGUCGUAACAGGUCGAGUAUUCCUCUCUUGCAUGUCCCACUUCAGUGUUUUCCCCAUUUUCCUUCAUCAACUCAGCUCACGCGAAUUUCUCCUCUGCACAUGCCAUGCCAAGCCUUAAAAGAAAUCUUCCCCUUCACAUGGCUCAGCCACCACCUUCCAUCUGGUGGAAGAAGACAAAAGCGAGUCUCCCCAAACUCUUGCGUCCGAUUGAAAGGUUUCUCCAAAACGACGUCGUUUUGUAGCAAAUUAAAAGAAUCGAACUGAACGGUGCCGUUCGGGCUUCUUCUGUUAGCAUUGGCUCCUGUUAAGGCUGUUAGUUUUUUUUUUUUUUGUUGAAUUAUAUUGAAACGGCGUCUAUUUAACCCCUUAGGGACUGGAUCCUCUAUAUCUAGGCCCGCUUUGAAUUCGACCUGCUGUUAUUCCUAAUUACGAUAUCAAAUAUAAAAUAUUUAGUUUAAGAUUGAAUAAAGUUUAUCUUUUUUUUAAAAAAAAAAAAUUCAUUAAAUGCACUUAAUAUAAAAAAUAAAAGCUUUUUUUCCUCAUAAAGUUAUAAGAGGAAAAAUAAAUAAAGAAUAUAUUGAUUUAAAGAAAAAUUAUUACAUUUGGUAUAAGAUAUAAAACUUUAGUACACAGAUAAUUAAUUAGGAAAUGAGAAGUAAAAUUCAUUAUUUUGGGAAUAGACAUUAGUUCUGGUAUGAGCUCUCAAACUUAUCACAGUUUAAUAUGAUGUUUUUAUAGUUAUUUUAAAUAUAUAUACCAUUAAUUAUACGAAUUAAAUUGAUAAUAUAUUUUUUUUUUCAGAUAUAAGAUGCUUUUAUUUAUUUAAAAUUUUGGGUGUUUGUACAUUUUUAAAUAUGGGUUUUGUCAGUAAGAAAAAUUGCACUCAUCUUUUUAGAGGAGUUGAACGAACCCUCCCAUGAAUAUGUCUGUGUGGUUGAUUGUGAUAUAGAAGAAGUAGAAACUUUCAAGUAGAAUAAAAACAGGAGAAGAAAUUCAACGUAUACAAAUACACACACACACACAUAUAUAUAUAUAUAUAUAUAUAUGGAGUAGAGAGAAAUUAGAAACUUUCCAUUAGACAGCAGGAAGUAACAAAAACAAGAGAAAACAUUCAUUAUAUAUAUAUAUAUAUAAAAUAAAGGGUGGGAGAUAUAUUAUUGGCUUAUUGAUGAGUUUGGAAGAAGGGUGCGGAUGUAACUUAUAAGUUUGCUAGGCCUUAAUGGUGUAUCCAAGAGAAGAAACGUAUUUGAUUAGUUUUGGAAGCUCAUUUUCAUCGACGAAGCCAUCUCCGUCGCCAUCAGCAAACUUCAUUCCACGCCAAGCUCUGAAUCCAGGAACUAAGGCACCCAAGUUCAAGAAAGCAAUCUUUAACUCUUCUGUACUCAAACGUUGGUCGCCAUUGGAAUCAAAUUUCAUCAAGGCAGCCUUUAUGUUCUCCUCAGUUGGGCAUUUGAGUGGCGCUGGUGCUCCCUUCCCAAUUAUAUGAGGCAUCUUAAACUAAUUCUUCAAACAAAUUUUAUACUAUUGAUUUUGUUUUUGUUGCUAUGAUCUUACAAAGCAAAUCAACAAGGCUAUUUAUAGAUCUUUUGCAAGUUAAUCUUUCUCAUUCAAAAUAUUCUCGCUUAUCUUCAAAUGGUUGAUGGAUAUAUAGCUAGAAUCUUUUUACUUCCUCAUGCACUGGCCGUGCGCCAAUGGGUAUAUAUAUAUAUAUAUGCUCAAAUCUAUUUAUAUCUACUUGGGCUCCACAGCAUGUAAUAUGUGUUCCAUUACUGAUUAAAGUGUGUUAAGGGAACACUUACAUGGGUGUGUGUAUAUACAUAUACAUAUAUAUAUAUGUGAUCACUUGAUAAUCAUCAAUUUAACAAGUAAACUAAGUUACAACUUACUUUUAUCUUUGGAUUGUAUUUAUACCUUAUUAUUGUGCACUUGGAGUGUCGGCCUUAAUUUGAAUGCAUUAAUGCUUAAAUGGAAUUAUUGCAUGGAUUUCAAUGUUUUUAAUGUGUCAUGUCAAAAGAUUCGGUAAUCCAAUUAAAAGAUUAGUUUGAUUAAGACAAUCACGUAACUAAUUAAAAAUUAAUAUCACAAUUAGAAUUAUCAAGAUAUUAUUAUCAUCACUAUUAUUAUUAUUUAUUUUAUUUUAACAAGAUUAAAUUGAGAUAUCAUAAUUAAAUUUUUUUUAUAAAAUAUGUAUCAUCUUCCACGGUAUCAUUUUAAUGAGGCAAGUUGACACUUCAGUUUUAAAGCAUUCAUAAUUAAAAAAUCUCAAGCACGAUUUAAGAUGGAGAAUGAAUUAAAGUAUGAUAUGAAAAAAAUCUUAAUUUAUCUUAUCAUAGUUAAAGUACAAAAAUAUCAUUAGGUAUUGGCCAAUACAUUUGGUAUCAAGUAAUAGUUGAUGUGACAAAAAAUUUUAUAUUAAUAUUAAACUGAUAUGAUUCGUACUCACUCAUAGAAUAUUAUAUUCAAAUAAUCUCCAUUCAAAAUUUUAUUUGUUCUUAAAGAUUACACUUUUUUAAUGUUCAUUGAAAAAAAUUUCAUAGUUUAUAAUUUUAUGACGUUAUUUAUAUUUAUAAUUAUUUUAAAUUUGAGAAAGCAGUUAAUAGAAAUCAUUUAAGCAUUAUUGUCUAUAUGUAAGAAAGUAUAAAUGAAAUCCAUCACAAUUAGAGAUGAACCAAAAAAAAAAAAUUGUGACCCAUCAAACCUGUAUUUUGAAUUAAGAACAAAACAUGUGUGUGUGUGUGUGUAUAUAUAUAUAUAUAUAUAUAUUUGAAUCAACACUGAGUUUAGAGUAGAUUCUGAGUUUAUGUAUUAUAAUUAUGAAUUAGAUUCAAAUUUUACAAAAAUUCCUUAUGAACUUGAUCUAUUACUAUCCCUAAUUAUAAUACAAAAUAUAAGAUCCUUACUUUAAGAUGAGAAAAAAUGAAUGAAGUUUACCUUAUUUUAGAUAUAUCAAAUUUCAUUUAAAAAAAAAAGUUUUAUCACAUUAUAACACAAUUGUCAAGUUGAAGCUUUUGUAAUUAUCUAAAAUAUACGUACUUCUUGUUAUAAGAACUAAAUUACAUAUAUUCAAGUAAGAAAUUUGUAAUAUUUUUUCGCAUAAGAUGCUUUUAUCUAUUUAAAAUUGACAGUGUUUGCUCAUUAUUAAAUACGUCUUAUUCAAAAAAAUUUAUUCGGUAAGAAAUUUUGUACUCAGUCAUCUUAGCUAUAUAUUAAUUUUUGGGUCGAGUAAGAUUUUGAAUAGAUAAUCCAAAUUGAAAUAUCAUCCAAAUUGAAGAAAUAUAUUUGGUUAAUAUAAUGUAUUGAGUUUAGAAAAAUCAUCGUCAAAAAUAUAAUAUAUUAUGAAGGUGUAUGAACUAUCCAUAUAUUUUUGUGGGUAUGUGUGGUAUACUGGAAGUAGAAAGAAACUUUGAAGUAGAAUAAAAAUAAGAGAAGAAAUUCAAGGUAUAUAAAUAUACAUAUAUAUAUAUAUAGAGAGAGAGAGAGAGAGAGAGUAGAAAGAAGGUAGAAACUUUCCAUUAGACAGCAGAAAGUAACAAAAAUAAGAGAAGAUAUUCAACAUAUAUAUAUAUAUAUAUAUAUAUAAAAUAAAGGAUGCGGGAUAUAUUAUUGGCUUAUUGAUGAGUUUGGAAGAACGGUGCGGAUAGAACUUAUAAGUCCUAGGCCUUAAUGGCGUAUCCAAGAGAAGAAACGUAUUUGAUAAGUUUAGGAAGCUCAUUUUCAUCGACGAAUCCAUCUCCAUCAUCAUCAGCAAGCUUCAUUCCACGCCAAGAUCUGAAUCCAGGAACCAAGGCGCCCAAGUUUGAGAAAGCUUUCUUUAACUCUUCUUUACUCAGACGAUGAUCACCAUUGGAAUCAAAUUUCAUCAAAGCGGCCUUUAUGUCCUCCUCAGUUGGGCGUUUGGGUGGCGAUGGUGCUUUCUUCCCCACCAUAUGAGGCAUCUUUACUUAAUUCUUCAGACAAAUUUUAUAAUAUUGUUUUUGUUUUUGUUUUUGUUGGUACGAUCUUACAGUGCAAAUGAACAAGGCUAUUUAUAGAUGUUAUCAACGUCAAACCUUUCUUUUUCAAAAUAUUCUUGCUUAUCUUUCAAUGAAUGAUGGAUAUAUAACUAGAAUCCUUUUAUUUCCUCAUGCACUUGCCAUGCACCAAGGGAUAUAUACAUAUAUAUAUAUAUAUAUAUGUAUAUGUUUAUAUAUGCUCAAAUCUAUUUAUAUCUAUAUGGGCUCCACGACAUGUAAUGUAGUAUGUUAAGGGAACACUUAUAUUUAUAUAUAUGUAUAAAUGAUCCCGUGAUAAUCUAACUUUUAAAUUUGAAUUGCAUCUAUACUUUAUUAUAAUUAUUUUAGAUAUUUCUCUACUAAGAUAUUUUUAUGUUUAUAGUAAUUUUAUUUGUGAUUAAAAUAAAAUUUAUUUUUAAAAAUAAAAAUAUCAUUUACAUCACGUAAGAAUAUAUAUAAAAAUUGAAUAUUGAAAAUAAUUUAAACAAUUUAAAAAUUUAAUAAAGUUUUUAAGCCAAAGAAAUUUUAAUAUAAAUUAUUUACGUGGUAAAACUUUUUAAAAUAUUUUAAAAGAUAAGCGAAACACGAAAACUUCUCAAAAGAUCCUGUGCAUUAAUGCUAAUGCCAAAACUUUUAAUAUUUAAAUAAUCUGUGUUUAAAUUGAUAAUACUAUAUUAUCUUACUAAUGAUCAAAUUAUAAAUACUAUUACGUGCUAAAAAUAAGCCGCAUUAAAAAUUCCAACACUAUAAUUUCCCAUUGGGCUUUAUCAAAGCCCAAGUGGAAUACGCUAAAGUCCAGGCCCAUUUUUACGAGUCUCUGUCUAACUCUUAACACCGACCCCAAACUCGACAUGUUCCUCUUCCCAAUUCACAAAAAUGGAGUUACCAAAGCCCGCAUUUUCCUUCAAUCCUCUCUCCUCACUCCCAACAUUCAUCAAUCACCAUUCCCACCGACUUGGUACGGAGCUUUCAAGCCGAAUCGACGAAACCAAGCGGCUCGCCGGAUCCCUAGCCGGAAACUUCUCACCGUUUCCGGCUGUUAACUGGCUUCAGCGUCCCGCUUUUCGGCCUCCCUUCGCUUCACUUGCACAGCCGAAGCAAGCUGCCGUCGCAACACUCAGCUCGGAGCAAGUUGCCAAAGCCCUUGCUGGCACUCCCGUAUACACCGUGAGUAACUCGAAUAAUGAGUUCGUGCUCGUGUCGGAUCCCAAUGGAGUCAAAUCCAUCAGUUUGCUUUGCUUUCGACAAGAGGAUGCGGAGGCCUUUCUUGCUCAGGUUGGUGUUUUCCAGUAAGAGUAAGGAAAGGAAUGGAAAAAGAGGGGAAGUUUAAACUCGUGUGUUUUCUGUGCGUGCCAGUGUAUGUGUUUGACUUUUGUUGUUACGUGGCAUUGGGUCUUCAGGUUCGGUUGCGAAGGAGAGAAUUGAGGAGUAAUGCUAAGGUUGUUCCCGUUAGUCUUGACCAGGUAAGGUCUUUAAGCUCACUUACAUUCUUAUUUUCUCGUGUUAACUCUCAAUUUGGUCUCUGUGCAUCUUAAUAUGGAGCCGUACCAAAUGAAUGUUGAAAGUUUCUCUUUCUGUGCAUCUUAUAGGUAUACUCGUUGAAGGUUGAAGGUAUUGCAUUUCGUUUCCUGCCUGAUCCUGUUCAAAUAAAGAAUGCAUUGGAGGUUAGUUCUUCAUAUUGUCUUGUAUUGACUGUUAAUUUAGUCUUCAUUAAAUAAUUAACAAGAAUUAAGAAAUUGUUCAUGAUUUUACUUUGAAAGUUGAUAAGUUUAUUAGUUAUCCUACAAUUCAGAUUGAGCAAUUAUGAGAUCAAACUGACAAUAUUUUCCUUUGUCUAUCAGCUGAAAUCUGCAGAUAUCAAUAGUGGGUUUGAUGGAGUUCCUGUUUUUCAGGUAUACAGUUAACAUGUUGAGUAAAUGCUGGUGCUUCAAACCGGAAAAUAACUAUCCUUCAGAUGGCAUGAUCAUUACUUGUACUUACAAAAAGAACAGCUUUUACAUAUGCUUAUGCAUGCAUGAUCACUUACAUGCAAAUACUUGCAUAGAGGGGUUAAGUGAUUUAUGAUUGUGUUUGAAUGCUUGCAAUUCAUUUAGUUGAAAAAUAGUUUAUGAAAGAAGAUUUAAUAACAGUGUCAGAUUUCAAUACUUCUCCAAAAAAAAAAAUGUUGGGACUCCAUUACCUAUUUACUUUUCUACAAAAGAAAUUAGAAACUAUUCCCUGAAUUCAUUUUAUUUGAAUGGUUAGACUUCUUAUAUUUCUUAUUUUCCUCUAGCAAUUUGAAAAUAGUUUGAGAUGAGCCUUUUCUUUUUAAGGUGCAUUGGUACAAACUGCUGCACCAUUUGCCAAUGUACCAAAAGAUCUAUAUGGUUUCUUACUUCCUUAUCACUGUGUUUGCAGUCAGAUCUUCUGGUAGUGAAGAAGAAAAAUAAGCGUUACUGCCCAGUAUAUUUCAAUAAGGUUCAUUUGUCCCAUAAAUCACCUUUUCUUAAGCUGUUUUAUUUUUGGAACAAUAUUUUAGAAGAAACAGCUUAGAAGCACAACAUAUUGAUUUUCCCUUCUCUUCCCUCUCUUUCCCCCAUGCAGGAAGAUAUAGAAAAGGAACUCUUGAAGUCCUCAAGGGUAUCAAGAGGACUGGGUGUUUCACAGCAUAUUAUGGUAUUACUUUAGCGUCAUAUCCAUUCUUUUUGCAGCUUUUUAAACAUUUGGACUAUAAAAUUUAAGUGGUCAAAGAAUAAUUACUGUACAGAAGAUCUAUGCAAUAUAUGAAAAUUUUAUCUCAUUUGUUGAAGGGAGGGUAGCGAUGGACUAAAAAGUUUGUGGAGGGAGAAGUGACACUUCUUUUCAACUGUGCUAUUCCCAAUUUUUAAAUCGAAUUAGAAGUCAAUGUAAUAGUGACGAUAAUAGUUUCAAUGUUCUCAUUUCAAAGAAUUGUAUACUCUAUUUGGUAGGUGAAAAGACUUUCUAAUUUCAUUUCUAAAUUGGUAUGUCUUUAUUAGUACAAACAUGUGAUAGUUAAACAUGAAAAUCAUAUUUGGAAAAUGGGAAUAAAAAUGUAACAUGAGUUGAAACGAAACAAUUAAAAAAGCUGUGUCCAACAUCUUCUAGAAAACUGUUUUUAUUUAUAUUUAAGUUCAACAUAUACAUCCACCACCGUACAUGUUAUUAUAUAGUAGUGUUUUUUAAUUUAAUGAAAAUUAAAAAUGUUUCCUUUAUGAAGUGAAGCUGUUGCCUUUCACAUCAUGUUUCUACACAGAUUUCAUUAUUUAUGCAUAUAGUAUUUAAGUACGAAAAUAAGUGAUUUGGUAAACAAGAUAAGAAACUUCUCAAAAUAAGUAAUUCACAGGUUUUGCAAACUCGAUGCGGAUUGCAUGUUUAUGUGGUUAUACUGGAAUUGCUCUUUUAUUUUUAUUACCUUGAUAGAAUCUUCUAGAAUCCGUGAUCUUUGGUUCUAACCUUUAUGUAUUUCAUUUAAGGGCCAUCCUCUCCUCAAUGAAGAAGAUAUAGUGCCCUCUUUCUAUCUAGGCCUCUGAGUAUCUAAAGUAUAAGUAAAUGAUUUGAUAAACAAGAUAAUGAAAUUUAAAGGAAAAUAAUUCAGAGUUUCACAAAAUUCGAUCCAAAUUGCACGCUCACGUGGUUAUAGUGGCAUUUCUCUUUUAUUUAUAUUCUCUUAAUUGUAUCUUAAGAGUCAGUAAUCUUUUGUACCGAGCUUUAUGUAUUUUGUUUAAAAGUCGUCCUCUCUUCAAUGAAGAAGACCUAGUGAACUUUGUUGAUAUUUGACUAAUUCUGUUUUCUACUCUCUCCAGAGGCUCACUAUCUUGUAUAUGAGUGAUAUCCCCUCAGUACCUUUUCUCCUCCAAAUGAAAUCUUCUUUUUUUGUUGAAAGAUAUGUGAUAUACUGGCAUGGGUUCAAAUCUUUCUUUGUACUUAACUGAUAAACAUUGGGCAUUUCCUGCCUUAAUAUCCACCAUGUUUAGUUUGUUCGUACCUUAGAUGAAACCAAUAAACUGAUGUGUUCAUUUGACAAAUGCAAGUGCAAUUAUGUAUACAACACCAGGAGUUUCUUAUUUUACUUUGAUCUAUUCUUUUUAAACUUUUAUCAGCACUUUACGCUCUGUAUAAUAUUUGUUAUCUAAUUCAGUCUGUUGAACAGGUUGGAAGUCUAGAAGAUGUCUGAGAAAAAUGGAGGUAAUGAGCAUGAUUAGAUUUAGUACAUUUCUGAUUAGAAAAGGAUUAGAAUCUGAAUCAGUUGCUUUGGUUUUAUCUAGAUGAGUGAGAGGAACUCAGGUUGGGGAGAUCUGAUUUUUAUUCCGCCUGGUAAAAGUCACUCCCAGCACAUCCAAGAGGUGGUCAAAGGAUGAGAUCAUGGAUAUAUUGCUUCUACUGAUGAUGUGGAGCUUCAGAAGACAGUGAAUAUCUUUUUUUUUUCUGCUUCCGAUCUCCAUGGUAAAGCAGGUCAGUCAUCAACACUAAAUGAUAAAUUACCUGCUUGUUGACACCCUUUCUCUCUCGCAAUGGAGAAAGAUUUUGGAAAGUAACAGCCUGUAUGGUAACUUGAUGAGGAUGAAUACAUUUUUAUUGAAAUUAAUACAAGAUAAAUGGCUCGCAUUUAAGUGGAAGAAGUAAGUGAAAUGCUAGCAUGUCAAUGCUGGUCAUUGGAAAUUGUUAUACUGUACAGUUUGAUGUUUUUAAUGAGUACUUUGUUAUUUAGACAUACUGUUGCAGAUGAAUGGACUUAGUCAAUGAAAUGCUAGCAUGUCAAUGCUGGUCUGGAAUUUUCUAGUUGUUUUUCAGCAUCUGAUGAAGCACUACAAAGGAAAAUUAGAAGUUGGGGGAAACUUAAUCUCAACAAUAGGAAGUUGUGAUUAUUGUCCUUUUCAACACUAGACUGAGUUUUAACUGCUUGCCAUUGUGGUUUAUUUUUCCAUUUAAAAGCUUUUUUUGCCUCCUUGGAUUUUUUGUACCCUGCUCUUUCUUGGGAAAUCUAGUAUGGUAUUCCACAAAUUUAUUGGGAUGAGUUUAUAAUGUGAUAGAAAUUUAAGUGUUCGUAUAAAAUUGAGAUCUCAACCACUUGGUUUUCUUUUUGUUCUCAUGUUUUUCCUAUACACUCUUGUUAUUGCAGCUGUGAGUAUUAUCCUGGAGCAGAUGAAUGCAAUUAAAAAUAUGUGGAAUUCCCUUUUUCAAGGCAAAAUUUCUAUGUUUACAAUUCUUUUAGAAUUCGAAUCGAUUUCAAGAUGAAUUUAGCAAGUUUAAAAUUCAUCAAAUAUGAUAUAAUUUGAGAAUGACUUUGAAAGACUGGAGGGAAAAAGGUUUCAGAUGUCUUUUGCAACUGGUAUUCAUGCAUCACAAAAAGAGACUACUGAAACAACUGGUGAGUAUGAAGUAAAUGUGCUCAUAUCAUUUCAUGAUAGUGAGUAUGAACGAGGGUUCCAAGCCUGCAGACCCCCGCACCUCAUACUUCGAGGGAUUCAGACUCUGUUUGGAUUUGUUUUUUUGUUGAAAAAACAUGCUUUGAAGUAGUAGAAUGCCUAAUUACUUACGUGCUUAAAUUUCAAAAGACUAGUACGUAUUAUAUUUUGUAUUCUUUGCAAAAGAAUAAAGAGAUGAUCGCUAAACAAAUGAUUGAACAUGUUAAGAAAAGAAAAGAAUGUUAUAUGUGAGUACAGAAAAAGUUGAAAGCAUACAGGAACGAGUAUGUGUUUUUCAUUGGUUAAAUUUCCUCUAGGUACAGAGGAGGCAGCUUAAUGCGUUACCAGACAUGUAAAUUCGACCUCUGUCGAUUGUAAGAACUCGUCGAGGGAGGGUGUUGAUUCUAAAAAAAAACAUGCUUCCAUUUUAAAACAUGUAAUUAAUCUUAAAACAAAAACUGGGAACGUGAGUAAAGAAUUGGGUGAGUGAAAUGGUGACUGUUCACCAAACCGAAAGGUCAUAGGGCGUGCGUAUAAUAAGCUGUGGAAAUAUGUUUUAGGUGAGGUGUGAUGUCUCAACUUAAAUCACGUUUUGAAUUAUAAAUUAAUGAUUUGAGUUUUGGUGGAUUUCUGGUAACGGCCAAAUGUGACCUUUGCACGUAGAGGAGGUCGACAGGCCAUCCGCAGAGUUGUUGGCGUCCUCGUCUACUUUGACCCGAUGAAUCUCUUUUACCAUUUUAACCUUUUUUAUUCAUAAAUGCUUUUAUCCUAAAAAUACUCAUUAAAACAUUAUUAUGUUUUCUAUAUACUAUUAAUAUUAAUAUACUAAUUGUCCCGGUUGAUAUAGUGACUUGUGUUAAAGUUAUGUAGACAACAUGAAACACCUAAAAAAUGCUUAUGCAAAGUUAUAGUUCCCAGUGCAAUUUGUUCAUUAAAAAUAACAAUAAUUCUUGUUUAUAUUUUUAUAAAAUUAUAAAAUUAUUAAAAUAUAUUUAGAAUUAGAAUAUAUGUAAAUACACAGAGAAAAAAUUUGAAGUCUAUUGUCCAAAACAUGAUAACAAACAUGAGAACACAGUUAUAAAUACCUGACAACACAAUAAUGUGAUUGAAAAGAUAAAACGAACUAUCAUUGAGAAUGUGAGAUGUAUACUCAAAAUGACUACCCUACUUAAACUAUUUUAGGUCAAACCUCUAUUUAUUAUAUGUUACUUACUGAAUCAAUCUCUUUGGUUCUUUUAAAUUAUGACAUCUUUGAAAGAGGCGGGAGGGCAUAGAAAGAAAUCUCAUACUCUCACUUGGUGGAUGAACAUAUCAUCCAAGUAAGUUUAGACCUCAAAAGGAGAAAAUUAAUAAGCAAGAUAUAUAUAUAUAUAUAUAUAUAAAUUAAUCAGCUGGGUAAAAUGAGUUCUCAUAUAAAGAUAAAGAUGGGAGAUGCCCACUUCUUGAUGUUGUUGGUAUUUCACUGGACCAUGUAGUUUGACUACGGUUGAUCUAAUGACAUGCAGACAGUCAAAACAUUUGUGUUUUGAUUACAACUUAAAUGAAUUUUACUUAAAAAGUAUAUACUAAAAAAAAUAUUAUGUAUCUUUCAUUUCUAAUUUUCUGUAUAAAUAAAAAGUGACAAUUUUUAAUAAUUAAUGCCAUGUGUUUAAAUUUACUUCUGAAAUAAUUAAAACACAAUAAGACAAGAACCUGCAAGCUAGAUGUAUAUAUAUAUAUAUACGUGUGGAUAAAAUUGCGUAUACGAAUUAGAGAAAAUCAAGUAUAGACUGUAGAGUAGUUGUUGAAGGGAGAAGGUCAAUUGGGGAAUUGUAGAUUUUGAGUUUCUUUUAAAUAAAAUUCAAGCCGGACCAACAGGCAGGCAACUGCCUGAAAAGUGAAAACGAAAUAAAAGCUUUAUUUCCUCAAAACUUCUUGUCCACAAGCCAAGCAAAUCCUAAACAAGGAACCUCUUGACACAUGUACCUCCCUCGUUGCUCCCAUUUUCCUUUUCCCUUCUUUUACUUCUCUCGUGAUCUCUUAUGUCUAUAUUUAUGCAUGUAUAUAUAAAGAGGUGGGUACUGGUAUAUGCUAGAAUAUGUACAUACAUGUACAUAACUCAUCUGCAGCCGAGAACAUGAAUAAACCCAGUUCAGCUUUAAAUUAAAUCAUAUCUUAUUAGAAUGGUCAUGGGUGAUAGUGCAGUCAGCCUCGAGAAGAUGAUCAUAAACAAGGCCAAUAUUCCUUCCAAGGCAUUGAUCAUCAGACUCAACCUCAUUUUCCUUGUUUUCUUCUUUCUUGUCUACGCUGCUCUUCUUCUCAGACCAUCUUCGUCUUUAUACUUUUACAACGCUGCAUCACUUGUUAGGUGCUCUUUGCGCGAGUGCCAUCACAAGGUAAGGUGAGCUAAAACCCAUUUUCAUUCGUAUAUUGAUAUUUAGGAAUUGUCGUAAGAGGAAGAUGUUGUGUUUUUCAGGUGGAGAGAGGAGUUAAAAUGCAGGCAGAGUUUGACGGGAGAAACCCCAUUAUGGACAACGCUGUAGAGCGUAAGAGUAAUUUGAGUAAGCUAGAGGUGGCUAGCUUCAUGAACGAGAUGGGAAGAGGAUUAAAGAUUGGGAUGAUUAACAUGGAAGACGUGGAUGUUAGUGAAUUGGAAGUUUAUGGAGAACUUAUACAAAUUCAUUUCAAGAGAGUAUCAGAGAAUUUGGAAUGGAAAGAUUUAUUCCCAGAAUGGAUUGACGAGGAGGAAGACAAUGAGAAUCCAUGGUGUCCGGAGAUACCAAUGCCUGAGUUGAGAAUAUAUAAGGAUGAUAUGGACGUAAUAGUAGCAAAGUUGCCGUGCAAGUACCCAGAUGAAGGGUGGUCCAGGGAGGUUUUUAGGCUGCAGAUGCACCUGGUGCUGGCAACAAUGGCGGUGAACAAGGGGAAAAGAGACUGGAAUAGGAGGACAAAAGUGUUGUUGUGGAGCAAGUGCAGACCGAUGAUGGAGAUUUUCCGGUGCGAUGAUCUGAUCAGACAUGAAGGUAACUGGUGGUUGUAUCAGCCGGCCGUCGCAAGGUUGGAACAGAAGUUGAUGUUGCCGGUUGGAUCUUGCAACUUGGCUCUACCCUUGUGGGGACAAGGUUUGUUUCCUUUUUUCAUUUCUAUUAAUUUUUACUUUCCUACAGGUUUCUUCUUACCUCAAAUUUUAAUAAUUUUCUUUAAAUAAAAAUUUUAUAUAUUAACAAAUAAAUAAUAUAUAACACUACUUAUAAUACAAUAAAAAAUAGUUUUUUAAACAAAAAUACACGAAAUAUAAUUAAACUCAAGAAUUAUACCAAUUAUUUAAAUAAAUAAUUAUUAAUAAAUAUUAAAAAAAAUUAUUUCUCAAAAAUUAAUGAUAAAUUGCUUUUAACCAGGGAUUAUUAUGCAUUAAAUAUUUGGAGAAUACAAUUAAUAUGGUCUCCAUUAAUUGACUUUUUGAAUUUUUUUAUAAUAAUUUUUUUUAAGAAUACUCUUGAAUAACAAAAUAAUUUUUUUCUGUAGAUAUAUUGUUAUAGUAUUAAAAAUGAAGAAACUAUAGUAAUAUAUUGUUAUAAUAUAAGGUUUGGUUGUGUUUGAUGAUGUGAAAAUCAUAAGUCGUCUCAAAUAAAGGAAAGAAUAUUAAUCAAGAAAAUAUGCGGGUUACAAUUAUUAGGUACUAACAAAUCUUCACAUUCACACAAUUUAAUCUUUAAUCAUCAUAGGCAUAUUUUCUGUGCGUAUUAUUUAGAAAGUUAUUAUAUAUAUAUAUAUAUAUAUAUAUAUAUAGUCUAUGUUUGGUGAUCACAACAUACCUUAUUAUUAUAUUGGAUUGUAUUGAUCAAUACAAACCCAUUUCUAUAUAUUGCUGUAUAUCAUCUUUCAAGCUAAAUCAAAAUGAUGAACUAUAAAUAAUUAUUUACUUAAGACAUUAUUGUAGCAUAAUUCUUUCUGAAAAUUUCAGAACUUUGGUUCUUACCUUGGUCUAUGAGAAUUAAGAAGAAAUUAAUUAAAUUAAUCAAGUUAUAAUUAAUUACAGGUAUCCACGAAGUCUACGACACUUCCAAGAUCGAAAGCGCCGUAAAAAACCCUAGAAGAGAAGCCUAUGCAACGGUUCUCCAUUCCUCGGAAGCGUAUGUUUGUGGUGCCAUAACUCUCGGCCAGAGCCUCCAAAAAACCGGCACCAAACGCGACCUUCUAAUUCUCGUCGACAACUCCAUCACCGACGCCAAACGUCAAGCUCUGGUCGCUGCCGGUUGGACCAUCCGACUCAUCAAAAGAAUCCGUAACCGCAGAGCAGAAAAAGACUCCUACAACGAAUACAACUACAGCAAGUUCAGACUCUGGCAACUCACUGAUUACCAUAAAGUUAUCUUCAUUGACUCCGACAUCAUCGUACUCCGAAACCUCGAUCUCCUCUUUUACUUCCCACAAAUGUCAGCAACCGGAAACGACGUCUGGAUUUUCAACUCCGGCAUUAUGGUGAUCGAGCCCUCCAACUGCACUUUCAAACUACUGAUGAAACUGCAAGACGACAUCGUUUCGUAUAACGGGGGUGACCAGGGGUUUUUGAAUGAGGUUUUCGUUUGGUGGCACAGGUUGCCUCGGAGAGUCAAUUUUCUCAAGAACUUCUGGGCUAACACUUCGGUUGAGGCCAGCGUUAAGAACCAUCUGUUUGCGGCUGAUCCGCCCAAGCUUUAUUCGAUUCAUUAUUUGGGUUUAAAGCCUUGGUUGUGCUACAGAGACUAUGAUUGCAACUGGGACAUUGAUGAUCAACGAGUUUAUGCCAGUGACGUGGCGCAUGAAAGGUGGUGGAAGCUGCAUGACGCCAUGGAUGAGAACUUGCAGAAACAUUGUAGAUUGACGAAACGGAGGAGGAUCGAGUUGGAUUGGGAUAGAAAGAAAGCAAGAGAAGCUGGGUUUAGUGAUGAGCAUUGGCGGAUCAAUAUUACUGAUCCUAGACGGACCCUUUUGACUUAGAUACUCUAAUUUUCUUAUAUAUAUAUAUAUUUCUUUGUUGAAGAUUUUUGCUAGCUAGCUGUAUGUAGAGAAUUGUAUGGAAUUCUUUUUCUUUAUAUAUAUAAUUUAUGUGUGAAUAGAUGAUCAACACCCAGGAAACCACUUUAUAUCCGUUGUCUAUUCCUCCUCAUAUUAUUUAUUAUUAUAUAUUAACAUUUAUCAUACAUGAACUGUAUAAAAGAAUAUAAAUAUAUACGUGUUUGGGACUGUUAAUUUUGUUGCAGAUUCCUUCGCGAUGUUCUUUAAAAAAAAAAAUUUUUUUUAAAAAAAAGAAAAAGGUGGACCAGCUCCAUAACGGAUUAGGAAACAAAAGUGUUUUCAUUAUUUUAAAGGGAAAAAAUAUUUUUCAUAAUUGUCUGUUUGACGGUGACAGCAUUUUACUUAACCUCUUGUUCGUCGCGCGUGGCCUUCAUUUUGCUGUCACAUGCAUAUUUAUUUACCAAAUUGCCAAUCUCCGUUGAGCGUUUCCGCUACGUUUAUUUUGGUAAUUUGAAUAAGUUAUGAGGGUAAAAAUGUCUUUCGGUCAACGCUCAUCUUAACGGACGUUGAAGAGACAACUUUCCUUAAUGGACGCCGCCUUUUUUUACUUAUUUUCCUUUUUAACUGUAAAUAAUUUUUUAUUUAUUCGCUUUAAAAAUUAGGAAACCCACAGCCUUUUGAUUAUACCCACCAUUAAUUAUUAAGAAAAAAAUAUAUAUAAAGCUAAUCUUAAUAAAAUAUUAUAAGAACAACUUUCUUGUAUUUGUUUUUAAUUGUAAAUUUUCAAAACUCUGUGAGAGGUUGAAAUGAUGGAUUAGAAAUAAGUUAAUUUGGUUAAUAGAAUGAUUAAAGAAGAACCAUUUAUAUAGUUCUUCAAAUCCAUAAUUUGAUUUGUUUUAUGUCAUUGUCUGUCUUAUCUCUAAUGACGUUGUAAAAAAAAAAAAAAAAAAAAGGAAGGGUGGGCAAGCUGUCAAAAAUGUCUUCUUCUGGUUUAAACAUCUUGUGGUCAAAAACCCCGAAAGGGGAAAGAACAAGUAUGAAAGCCAUUACUAUUUUUAAACCCUAAACGAAUUUUCUUUUUGUUUUUGUUUUUUUGGUUUUUGGGUGAUUUUAAUUUUUUUUGUGAAGUUAAGAAAAAUUUAAAAAUCUCAUCUUCAAAGAUAGAAAUGGCGAGCAUACAGAUGGAUCUAGUCUGUGAUAGAUGAGCUAUGCUCCACGCACGUGUUUCCUCUCCGUUCUUUUCUCUUCCUAUUUUUGCCUCUUUAACUUUCCCACCUCUCUUUUCACUAACGUAUAUAUUCUCUUUUCCUUUUUUCCUUCUCUUUUUACUCUCUGAAUUUCCCGAAAUUCAUUCAUCUAUCUUCUUCCUUAAUCCUGGUACGUUCUUUCUAUUUUCUAAUCUUUCUUUAAUUUGCUUGGUUUUGGAUUCUCUUUUCUCUUUAUCCUUUGCUACCUGUUGAUUAAUAUCGACUUCACGAGUUUGAAUUAUUGGUGUUUCUCGAUCGGAUGACGAUAUAUACGUUGGCUUUCACAGCUACAAGAUGACGAAUCAAGUUUCAACUUCAAUUAAUUGAUGAUGUUUAUGUUUAUCAUUUAUUUCCACUAACCCUCCGUUUCUUAAAUGGUUGCUUUGAGCAUGUUGGAAUUUAUACCAAUUGGGUUUUUCUUGAAUUUGCCAACAAAAGCAGGUUUUGAUCCAACACAAGGUUUUGUUUCCAAAUUUGUUCUCAGGAGCUGACAUGUUGGGUAAUCUAGUUAUUUUAAGAUAAUGAGUAGUCUAAUUUACUCCCCUCAAAUUAAUCAAAUCUUGAAAGAGGGUUAUUUUCGUUGUUCUAUUUUGUUUACUGCUAUUCCCUUCUUUUCUCAGCUUGCAAACUUUCAUGGAACUUAACAUUCAGUUAUUUCUAUUUGCAUAUUAGUUUCAUAAUCCAAUAGAUAAUUGAGAGCUAGUUAGUGAUUAUAAUUAAUUUUGUAGCUCAAGCUUAUAAUAACAGUAUUUGAUCGCUGUUUGCUUAAAAUUCUUGUGAAAUCAUGCAUUAUGACUUGAUUGCAUGUUUGAAUCAUACCUGGUCUCAUUUUGGCAGCAUCUAAACGUGGAAAUUAACAUUAGCUGUGGAAAACAAAGAUCUAAUGCUAAACUCUUGAUACAACAAGGCUGGUUUUCUAUAUAACAUUUUGAUUUAUUGAUUAUAUAGUGAAUUAAAUCCAAAUCAUUUCUUUGGCUAUAAUAUUUUCUUUAAUCUAAGAAAGUCACAUAAAUUAUUUUUUUUCGUUUUCCAAGAAUUACUUAAAUUAAACUAUAGUUUCUCUGCCCUCCUUUUGCUGCUCCUUUACUAAUUUCAUUUCCAUUUUGUUGGAUAUUUCAGUUAUCUUACGUGGGCUACCUUGAAAGACUCUUCAAAUGGAGGAUGUAAAAACUUCUGAAGCAAUAGCUCCUCUAGGACCCUCUUCAUCUUCUGAGGAUAAUGCUCAUGCUUCUACCGAACCUCCAAUGAACCCAAUUAAUGGUAAACUCGGACCUGACUCCCAGUCAUCAGUGGUCGAAAAUUCGAAAUCAUCAUCUGCAAAAGAUGCUUCUGGUGAUUCACUACAAACUCUUCUGACGGAUAAUUCUACUUCCACUUUGGCACUUCCUCAUGAGAUCAAUCAUCAUAAUAUUGCGUUGGAAGGUUCUAAGACUGAGCAAGACACACUUGAUGGUCAGAGAUAUCGAGAUACUGAUUCUGUUGUCAGUGUUGAUGCUCGUCCUAACGAAGUACUUAUAGCCUCCACUUCCUCUCCUAAGGGAAGAGAUAAUGAAACUAAUCAACAUGUAUUGCCAUGCUAUGAAGUUACCCUGCCUGUUUUGAAGGUUAACAAAAUUGCUGUUGGAUCACCAAGAGCUAUGGGAUCAACUAGAGCUGUGGGAUCACCAAGAGCUGUGGGAUCACCAGGAGCUGUGAUAAAUAAUAAAGGUGUGUUGAUGGGAGAUUCUGACAGUGGAGGCACAAAAGGUAAUUGUCAAGCACCAAGAGUAGCUGAAUCACCCAGAGCUGCCGGAUUUCCAGGAGCUGCCACAGGGGGAUCUGUGACAAAACAUCCUGGGUCAGUGAUAGAGGAUUCUAAAGCCAAUUUCAUGCUUGAUACUUCUGAAUCUAUGGGAGAUGUUUCAUCACCGAAAGCUCUUACAGGCCAUAAAAUUACAGGGACCACAGAUUCUAAAACUGAAGGCACACAAUCUCAUCUUGCUGGUUCUAUUAGUUCAACCCGAGUUCGUACAGAUGACUUGAAUGUACCUUCUACUUCAUCUCCGAAAGUAAGAAAUUCCAACAAUGAUCACCAAGCACAGAUAUCCAAUGACCUUACUGAACCCCAUUUGAGGGUUGCUGGGGCGACUGUUGGAUCACCCAGAAGUUUUGGAUCACCAAGAGUCAUUUCACCGAGGGCCAUGUCACCAAGGGCAAUGUCGCCGAGGGCCCUUGGAUCCCCUAGAGCUGUUGGAUCACCAAUAGCUGUUAGAUCUCCAAAAGUUGUUGACUUAAACAGAGGCCUUAUUGAUACAGCAGCACCUUUUGAAUCUGUUAAAGAAGCAGUUUCAAAAUUUGGAGGAAUCACUGAUUGGAAAGCCCAUAGGCUCCAAACUGUAGAGGUAUGUUUUUCUUGGAUUUCAAUGUAAGAUGCUGCUUCGUAUCAAUUAAGUAUAGCACCUUCUAAUCAGCUUAUGGAGGUAUUUUCGUAAAGGGAUGUAAAAGGAAAUCCUUUCUCAAAUUUGUUACUUUUUAUAUGAUGAGUAUGUUUGGUCGAUUCAUAUAUAUUUCUAAUAGUAUGUUCUUGGAGUCUCAACUUGGUUGCUAUUUCUCCAAAACUAAAAUUUUGAGCAUAUUUAGUGAAUUAUUGUAGGUCUAAUUGUAUUUUAUUGGAUAUAGUGUAUCCUGGAUAUGUAGUAUAGUUAGGUUUAUUAUUUUGGUUCCCUUAUCAUCCUAUUUGAGUUUACUCUUUAAUUUACCACAAUUUUAAUAUUUGAAUUAACGUAGUGACACCUUUAACUCAUUGGAGGAAGAUUGCCAAAUCUACUUCUCAAAAUAAAAAUUGAAAAUUCUCCUCCAAAGGAAGUAAAGUGGUCCAAACAUUAAAGUGAUGAUGCAAUCAUAUAUCAACUAUUUAAGUAAUUAGUUUAGAAUAAAUUAAAAAGUUGUGCGGAAUUUAUUUUUUAAUCCAUAUUUAUUUUGACUAAGAUGAGAGGAGUCCUAACUAAAAUGAUUAAGUUUGAGUUCAUAUGAAAUUGUAUAUAGAACUUUUUGAGAUAAGAAAUUGUAUAUAGAAUUAAAAUAAUACAUUUUAAAUUUGAUGAAAUCUAUAGUACAUUGUCUUGAUUUCAUAUGGAAUUCCCUGUGAACUCAAUUGUUUGUCAUCCUAAAGAUUUUACAUCGUCUCCUUGUUGAUUUAAGUGUAGAUUUACAAAUAAAUUUCUUGACAUUUUUAAAUUUGUUCCAUACAUAGUGUUAGCGAACGAACAAGGUAAAAAUUAGGAGGAGAAUAAACUAAACUGUGGAUUUGUGAAUGUUUCUUUUGUAAUGGAAAGUUAUUGCUGUGAGAGAAAGUUUGUUAUGGAGAAUUGUGGCAUAUUGUGAUUGUACAGAUGAUUGUGGCGACAGAGUAGUGGUCUUGAAAUGCAAGACUUAUCUAGAUGUAAGGUAUUCUGUAGGAUCCUUUACAAUUCAGCCCUAAAAACAUUUGCUUCCAAAGCACUUGCAUGACGAUGUGCACUAUUUUCUAUAGGCCUAUCUGACUCAAAGUUUAAUGGAUUUAGUUGCCUUGGCAUUUGAUGUUCUGUGGUUGUUUAAUGGACAGUUUUCAAAGUUGCAUCUACAAAUCUCAUUGGGUCAUGAUUUGAUUAUUGUAAUGCCUGGAUAAAAGCAGCAUGGGUCCGCCAAUUUUUUCAUCCUUCCCUGGCCUUGAAAAGGUCAAUUUUAUGUUGUUGACUAGAGCUCUUAUAUCAAAUUCUAAAAUCACACAUUUCUUACGUGAAAUUGGAAAAUCAUGAUUAUGGUCCCUUGUUGUGUUGGUCACUGAAUGUGGUUACUGGCUACUGUACUGCUGUGCCUUGAUGCAGAUAUAAUGAAGGCGUCUUUCUAAGCAUGCAAGUAUUACGAUUUAACAAAUACUUGGUACGAUUAGUAGAAAGAGAAAGAGACAAAGGUCCUAACUCUUAGUGUGAAAGUUUCAUCUUUUUCCUAUCGCUGCUUUGCUUCUUGAAUUGAUAUGCAAAUAGUACAAUGGCUUCCCAACUUUCUCCCUAAUUGCAUUUGAUUGAGCACUAUCCCUGCUUAAGAGAUUUUAGCAUCCUCAUGUUCAAUAAAAGUGACAUGAAUUUCUUUCUGCCGUAUAGAGACGUAAACUUGUAGAACAAGAACUUGAUAAAGUACAGGAGGAGAUGCCCGAGUAUAAGAAACGGUCUGAGGUUGCUGAAGAGGCAAAAAUGCAAGUACUCAAGGAACUAGACAGCACAAAGAGACUCAUAGAGGAUCUAAAGCUAAACCUGGAGAGGGCACAGACAGAAGAGCAUCAAGCAAAACAGGAUUCUGAGCUUGCCAAGCUUAGGGUGGAAGAGAUGGAACAAGGGAUUGCUGAUGAGGCUAGUGUUGCAGCCAAGGCACAGCUUGAGGUUGCAAAAGCCAGACAUGCAGCUGCAGUUUCAGAGCUGCAGUCUGUCAAGGAUGAGCUGGAAACACUACGCAGAGACUUUGAUUCUUUGGUGGCUGAGAGAGAUAUGGCUAUGAAGAAAGCUGAGGAGGCUAUGUCUGCGUCCAAGGAUGUUGAGAGAACAGUGGAGGAACUGACAAUAGAGCUUAUUGCUACAAAGGAAUCCUUAGAAUCUGCACACUCUGCACAUCUAGAAGCAGAAGAACAAAGAAUAGGGGCAGCCUUGGCAAGAGACCAAGAUUCUCACCAUUGGGAGAAGGAACUGAAGCAUGCAGAAGAGGAGUUGCAGAGGCUAAACCAGCAAAUUCUUUCUGCCAAGGAUCUCAAAUCAAAGCUAGACACUGCUUCAGCCUUGCUUCUUGAUUUGAAGGGUGAAUUAGCAGCUUAUAUGGAAUCUAAACUGAAGGAGGAAGCUGAUGAAGACUCAAAUACUGAAUUAGAUGCAGCAGAGAAGAAAACUCAUACUGAUAUACAGACAGCAGUUGCUUCAGCAAAGAAGGAGCUUGAAGAAGUGAAGCACAAUAUUGAGAAAGCAACGGCUGAAGUGAAUUGCUUGAAGGUGGCUGCUACAUCAUUAAAAUCAGAGCUUGAAGAGGAAAAGUCAGCACUUGCCACCAUCAAACAAAGAGAAGGAAUGGCAGCAAUUGCAGUUGCUUCUCUUGAAGCUGAAUUGGAUCAGACAAGGUCAGAAAUUGCUGUUGUUCAAAUGAAGGAAAAAGAAGCUAGGGAAAAGAUGGUAGAGCUCCCCAAGCAACUACAAAGGGCAGCAGAAGACGCUGACCAGGCAAAGUCACUUGCUAAGUCAGCACAUGAAGAGCUGCACAAGGCAAAAGAAGAAGCAGAGCAAGCAAAGGCUGCAUUGAGUACCAUGCGAAGUAGAUUGUUUGCUGCUCAGAAGGAAACAGAGGCUGCCAAAGCUUCAGAAAAUUUGGCCUUAGCAGCUAUUAAGGCAUUGCAAGAGAGUGCGUCUGCUCAAAGCAGCAAUGAUGUCAAUUCAAAUUCAAGUGUAACACUUUCUUUAGAAGAGUACUAUGAGCUUAGCAAGCGUGCUCAUGACGCUGAGGAGCAGGCCAACAUGAGGGUGGCUGUUGCCAUUUCUCAAAUUGAGGUAGCUAAGGAGUCUGAGUCAAGAAGCUUGCAAAAGUUGGAAGAAGUGAAUCGGGAGAUGCUUGCUAGAAAGGAAGCAUUAAAAAUUGCAAUGGAAAAGGCUGAGAAGGCCAAGGAAGGAAAGUUGGGUGUUGAACAAGAGUUGAGAAAGUGGAGGGCUGAGCAUGAGCAACGCCGAAAGGUUGGUGAGUCAGGUCAUGGAGGGAACCCCUCAAAAAGCCCAAGAGCAAGUUUUGAGGUGAAGAAAGAAUCAAAGAACUUUGACCGGACACCAUCUGCUGUUGCCCAGCAGAUGACAAGCCCAAAGGCAUAUGGGCAUGGAAGUAACCCUGAAAUUAAUCCCCUCCCUGAAGCAAAGAUUGGAAAGAAAAAGAAGAAGCCUUUGUUCCCUAGGAUUUUUAUGUUUUUGUCCAGGAGGAAGUCACAUUCGUCCAAGUGAUGUAGCUUUUGCUCAAACCACAUAUAUAUGGUCUUUACUGUUAUGAUUUUAUAUCUCUCAUUGGGCUGGGUAUCGUUUAAUAGCCCUUAGUAUGUAAAUGGUGGUUACAUUUUUGUCAUGUAUGAUAUAGUUACCAGAACAUAUUUUUACUCAGUGAAAAAGGAUGAUGUUGUUGGAUAUUGGUGGCUGUGGAGGAGAGACAAGUUUGUUGGUAGUGUGUGGCUGACGAAGCCAUAAGAUGGUUUUAUCAUGUAUGUAAUUGUGACAGUUUGAACCUACUCAUGUAAAAAAUUUGAGUUUGGUCCAAUGAAAUAACUCUUUUUUGCCUGGUUUUUUGUUUAGUUGAAAUGCAAAAUUAUAGUGAUCUGUUUCGGAUGGCAUGAUGUGUGGAUGAAGUAGAAAAGUUUUCCUCAAUAUUGUGAAAAUGCUAUUUUAUAAACUAUGAAAAAAAUUACAGUAUAGGUUUUGAUUGACUUUACUUGCAGCAUCUUGCCAAGGAGCUUAAAUCUCUCCCCAAUCUGAGAAAGCUUAUUACCAAAUUCGGAAAAUACUAUUUCACCAAACAACUCAAGAAUGCUGUCAUUGCAGACAUUGAAAUGAAUUGGAAUAAACACUAAAGUGAGAGAUUGAAGAAUUAAACUUUCUUGUGUACAAAAUCUUGGAUGAUGAAUCUGAAAAUAAAAGUUUGCAGAACUUGUUUGUUUCUUACAAGCCAAAUGAUAUUGCAAAGAUGCCAUUUUACGGAAUACAUUGAAGAAGCACACUAGUGGGUGAGGACCUGAAUGAUAGUGUUGUGCCAUGGAUUUGAGAGGUGCUGCACAAGGUUGUCAAUAGGUCCUGCAUGAGUCACAUAAGCUUGGACAAAAAUACCAAGCAUUGCAAUCAUUGCAAGUCUUCCUGCAUAAAGACUUUGAGCUUAAAGACAGAUAGGAUAACUAUAAUAAUGCAGCAGCAAGUGAACAAGCCUCACCAUUCUUGAUUUCUUUCAGUUUCCAAUCAUGGGCAUUUCUGAUGUCUUUGGCAAGACCAAGUGGAUUUAGCAGAGGACCUCCAGGGUAGCUGAAUAAACAGAGUGCAGUUAAACUCCAUAUUUUCUCAAGGCGUAUAUGUGUUGGAUCAAUUUGGGUAAAAAAAUCCUGUGUUCUUAUAUCAAGAAUGGUAGAAUCUUCAAGCUGGUAGGAUGAGCAAGUGAGGAAGAAAAAAAUACCCAGGUUCAAGUCCUUCUAAAGCUGCUUCCAAUCCAAAGAAGGAUCCCUCUUUGGCUUGAGAUCCAGGACUAAUGAAAUCCAUAUACCUUUUGGUUUCCACGAAUCUGUCCAGAAUUCCAAUUCAGAAUUUACAACGAACAAGACGCAGAGGAAGAAUUAACUAAGUAAAUUUACCCCAUCAACAAUAGCUGGACGACAAUCAAAGUCGUUGUGCUGGCAAAUUCAAAUUUCACGGCACCUGCUUCAUACCAUACUGGUAUGUUGCUGAUUCCUGUCACACGAAGUAUCUGCAAACAAACAGUCACUACUCCCCAGAAAAAGACAUAUUCAUUUAAAGAUGCAAAUGGCACUUACAUCAGUGAACAAAAUUCCAGCAACUCCAACCAUGGCAAAGCGAGCAUGAACUAGCUCUGCCUGCACAUACCACUUCAAGCUUUCCGGAUCUUCCCCAAGCCCAAGUGGGUCAAACCCAUAAUCUCCAGCCAAACUUCAACCAUUCAAAAAAAAAAAAAAACAACCUCAAACAAUAAAUCGAUUACGCAAAUCAACUCCAACCUCAACAUAGACAAAUGGGGCUCACGUUCCAUCGAGAUAGGGAGGAGGGUCGAGCCCAGGGAGCCACGUGGGUCGCUGCUGAGCUUCAACUACCACUGCGCACGUCCUUGGCUUAGUAGACCAAGAUGUGCUUGUGACACCAAAUGGCUCUCUGUGUAUGUUGUUGCAGAAAAAAGAUGAUGAAGAAGACGAGCGUGGCUGGACAAAGAAGCUUACUCCUGCAACCGCCAUCUUCUUUCGUCUCUAACCACUUACACAAUUGUCAUUCAAUGAAGAAACUUGGGUCCACUUUUCUAACGCUUAGCGCAACCCAUUACAGAUAGGGUGGCUGAGCCUGAGGUAGACAACUCAAGUAAAUCUUAUUUAACAAGAAUGUAAAAUAGUAAAAGGAAUUUAUCUUGCACUAAGAGAGUCUCUACAUAAAUUCUUUUCAUACAGAGAAGAGAAAGCAAUAUCUGCUUUCAGUAAUAACUAAACAACCAAAUUGAAAAGCUUGAGUUGGGAAUCACCCAAAGUACUUGACACAACAACAGAUUUAUCUGCAGCACGACUACAAACCUAAUGAAACAGAGAUCUAAAAACACAGUGGACAAGUUCUUCAAAAAUCUAAAAAUAAAGUGGUCAUGACUAGGGUGACAUCCCAGCAUGUCAUCGCCUGCUAGACAUGCUGAAGGAGCUGACUUUCAAUGGCGUUGCAAUCACCAGUGGGGCAUCGGGAGAAUCAGUGACUGCAAAUUUAUCGUGCAUGAAACGACUAUCGACAAUUGAGUCAUCCUUUAGAACUAUCUUGUAACAGUAGCAGCUCUUCAGACCUUCUUGAUUACGGUAGCAUUCAUGAGACCCAUUCUUGACCUGUUGAAAGUUCCAUAUGACACUGAACUUGCCCACUGUUGCAACCAAAUGGCGCUCCUGCUUCCCAUUUUCUGUGACCUAAGUUAUUUAAACAUACAACUGUUAACAUCCGAUGACCUAAGUUUCUAACAAAUAAGUACCCUUAUAAAAUAUAAUCCUAGAAUUCCUAAGUAACAACAGAGAAGAACAAAAAUUUAAUAGGAAAAAGGAAAAAGAAAAGCAACAUCAGUUACCACAUAAAGCUUGUCAACGGCACUCAGAAACCAUUGUCCAAAAACAAAGCAAAUUGCGUAAUUUGAAAGGAUGGGCAAAGCACUUAAGCACAAAACAAAAUGGUCAUAGUAGGCAGAAUAUUCGAACAAAUCUCCUAGUUCUAAAUUAAAUGUUCAGAGCAGGAGAUAAAAGCAUAAGAUAUAUGUAUCUGCAUAUGCUUACCCACGAAAACUGAGCACUACGGAACUUGUUAUUAACUCCGGCUAACUGCGAAUCUAAGGGAGACAACUUCAACAAUCGUGGAGCUGCAAUUCUAUUUCCCAUACGGCCAUUAAAGCCAGUCUUCAUCUUACCAUCUUUGUCAGUAAAAAGCGUGCAGAUGAGAAUCAAAUAUGUGUCAGUUGUACCCAAUAUCCAUUUCCCAUCAAAGGUAACAUCCACAUGAGUGAUAGGUGAACCAAGACCAGGAAAAGCUGUCUUUGCCUGUCUCAUUGAAUUGCUAGAGUAGAGUCUGAUCUUCCCAUCGAGAGACCCAACAACUAUUGAGCCAUCACCAGUCGAUGCAAAGCAUUGGAAGUUAGUCCCUCUGGAAAAUUGAUGUCCUUGGGCCCAAUUCAAAACAGGGGUAUCGGCAGUCGCAAGAUUUUGAACCAUGCCUUUCCGAUCACGCAUGUCCCACCUGCAAAGUCUGUUAUCAUCCAGCCCCAAAAACGUUGAUCCAGAUGGGUCCAGUUGGGCUCCUUUGCUAUCAUUUGCAAUAUCCCUCAUGGUGAUAUCCACUCCAUCCUUCUCAAAUCUCCACUCUGUAACAAUUUUACCGGUUUCAAUAUCAAGCUGAUGGAGUCCAGUAGAAUGAGGUUUCUUUACAUCCAUGGGGCUCAUGAGCAGCAUAUUAGUCUCAGCCCUCAUAAGAAGAGCCUUUUUGGGUGUUGAAUGAACCAAACUCGAGCCACUUCUAUAACUCUCCGUAUCAAAAUUCACAUACACACCUUUUCCAUGAAUCCCGUGACUGAAAUUCUUAACAACCUGAAUACCAGAAUUACCCACCAAGAAACUGUUAUCCAAAGCACCCAGCGCCAAGCUUUGUAUGCCAUCAUUCGCUGCCUCUUCAAAUUCCUGUCUCAAAUCCUGACUUGCCCGAACUGGCGUUGAAGCUUCGGGGCUUUUCAGUAAACUAUCGUCAGCAUCUUCCCACAUUGAAUCAUCGGCGAUUUCAGGGUUUGCCCACCCAAUAAAAUCUUUCCCAUAUACCUUAACUUUGUUGACUUCGUUUGAUUCAAACCCAUAUACGUUCUCAAACAAACAAUCAUUAUACUUGGUUACGAAACCUUUAUAAUCCUCAUCAGAAAAAAAUUUCAUAGCCCAAACACCUUGAGCAACAAAAUCAACUCGACGUUGUUCUGGAAAGGUCUUCAAAUACGUCUCUUCCGACACUUUCACUCGAAUCUUAGAACCAACCUUCAGGACCCACCAAGAUUCUCCUUCUCCAGCAUCUUCAUCAUCCUCGUCUUCGUCUUCCUCUUCUUGACCGUCUAGUUUUGAUGUCUUGACGAAAGAGUAAGAUGCAAACUUCUCUGAUGUGAUCCAUUUGGAUUUGGGUGUGUUUGCACCGACGUGAAGGUAAAGCCUCACAGCAUUUUUGACAGAAGGGUUCUGGCUUGACGGGUAUUUGAGCUUCAAAGCUUUGAGUUUGGCCUCUACUUCAUCAAGAGAUGAAGGAGUUUUGGCCCUGCGACCUGAUGAUCUGUCAGGGGUGUCAUCUUUGGAAUCUUGGUAGUCUUCCUCCUCUUCUUCACCUUCCUGUUCUUCGUCUUCUGCAUCCGAGUCUGAGAUAUCAAGAUCUUCGCGACUGUGAGCGCCACCCAUUAUUGGGAUGUGUUUAGAAUCAAUUAAAGAUCAGAAUUGAGAGAAGGAAUUGUUUGCUUUUGAGAGAUCGAUGAGACAAAUAAUUUUAAAAAAAAACGGAGAUUGAAAAGUGAAGAGCGCCAAGUUCAAAUUUUGAAAUUGGAGCCUUCAAGCAUGGUUUAUACAAUAAUUUAGGGUUUUGAAUGAAUGAUGUUAGCCAAUCGAAGCGUUGAGGCUGAGGGGGUCACCGGCUACUCCCGGUGUCCGGGGAUCCUACAUUUGUCCAAUCGGGUUAUUCUGUCCAGAUCUGGACCCUGUAUGUACCCGGACUCUAUAUAUAUUUUAAAUUGAUUAUAAUGUUUAAGCAACAAAAAAUGAUUAUGGUUCGCAAUUUAACUCUUAACUUAUAACUAUUUAAAUUAUAAAAUUAAAUUUUAUGACAUAUUAUAAAUAUAGGCCAACAAGAAGAAUAAAUAGUAAAUUGUAUUAUUCAAUUUAAUUGAUGUAAUUCACUUAAUUUUAACUAAAAUAUAUUUAAUAAGAUAACUUAGGUUAUGUUUGGUACAUAAAAAUAUUUUUAAACUUUUAUUUUUUAAAAUUUUUUUAUCUUUAUUUAUGAAAGUAUUUGAAACUUGCAUAUUUAUAGAUUUAAAAAAUAAAAAAAAUUAAUUAUAAUUUUCUACAAGCACUUACACAAUUUUUUAAAAUUAAGAAAUCUUCACCAUCAUUAUUUUUAAUAUUAAUUAAAUUAUAAACUUUUGUAGAUGAACACAUAUAUGUUUAAAAAAUAUAAACUAGUAAGUAAUUUCAUAUACUAUGUGGCAUCAUAAAACGAACAAAAAAGAUUCAAGGUUGUCCCUUUUUUUUUUUUUUUUCUUUUUCGAAGUAAAACCAACGAUCGUUUUGCCACCCGCUAACAAUUUAGUGUAAAUCACAUAAUUACAUGUAGGAAGGUAGUUUGCUGUGUGCAAUCUGUAGACAAGGUUGGUGUAUGUAUAAAUAAGUCAUUAUGAGAAUAAAUGGUCAAAAGAAUUAGCUUUAAGAUAAACUUCCUUGAAAUGUAAGUGACUAACUCCUGAAAAGCCAUCGCCUCCCAUGUCCUUCAUCAUCUCUCGCACUCUCUCUACAUCAUCCCACAUUCCUUUAACAGCAUACAGAUUUGACAUCAAUAUAUAAAGGCCACCAUUUUUGUUAUCCAUUAAAUAUAAUUUCUUAGCUAAACAUUCCCCGAGCUUGACCUCUCUGUGAAUGCAACAAGCACUAAGCAAUGCUCCCCAAACUGCUGAAUCAGGAUCCAUCUUCAUAUUCUUGAUAAACAGAAGUGCCUCCUCAAAUAAGCCUGCACGACCGAGAAGACCAACCAUGCACGUGCAGUGUUGCAAAUCUGGGACUAUACCAAAUUCUUCUGUCAUCAUUUUGAAGUACUUUCUUCCCUCAUGAACAAGACCCGCAUGAGUACAAGCAGCCAGAAGUCCUAAGAAAGUGAUAUCAUCAGGUUUUAAUGCUUGUUCUUGCAUUUUAGAGUAACAAGCCAGAGCUCUGUGCUCAAAUCCACACAAACUGUAGCCUGAUAUCAUUGCAUUCCAGGUUGCCAAACAUGGAAAUUUUAUGCACUCGAACACCCUUUCUGCACCCUCUAUGCUCCCACACUUGGCAUACAUGUUGAUAAGAGCAGUACCAACAAAAUCUUCCACUUGUAGAUUAUUUCGAAGAAGAUAACCAUGAAGUUCCUCUCCAACCUGCAAGUCUCCAAGUUGCGAACACCCUGUUAACAAACUGGCAAUAGUAACCCCAUCUGGACCAUGUCCACAGAGAUUCAUUUGACGGAACACCUCCAUGGCAUCCCUCGCUUUUCCAGCCUGCACCCAGCCAGAUAUCAAUGAGUUCCAACUAGUUAGAGGCUUCUCAUGCAUGUCAGAGAACAAACAGACCAUAGCUUCAAUGUUGUUGAACUUGCAAUACAUAGUUAUCAGUCCAUUUGCAACCAAAUAGUGAGUGCAUAGCCCACUUUUAAUUGCAUAACCAUGGAAAGCAGCCCCAAUAUCCAUGUAACUGAGGUCUGUAAAGCCAUGGAGAAUGCUAACCAUAGCAACAGCAUCCACUUUCAUUUGCAACUGUUGCAUUCGUGCGAAACAUGCCAUGGCCGACUCUGUAUCUCCUUUUUCAACAUAGCUUGAAAUAAUUGCAGUCAAUGAGACCAAAUUCUCCUUGGGCGCUGACCAGUAAAGCCAUUCUGCUGAGUUUGUCUUUCCAAAUCUUGCAUAUGCACAAAUUAAAGAAGUAAGAACAGAAGCAUUAUUAAUGAGGCCAAUUUUAAUAGCAAAACAAUGAAUAGUCUCAGGGUUAGGAUUAGCCAACAGAAGGCUUACAAGACUGACUGAAUUUACUUCCACACCCUCCUCCAGCAUGUAGUUGAAAACAAGCAUAGCCUCAUCAAAAUAACAGUUUUGUCCAUAAGCACCAAUCAUGGUAUUCCAAGAAACUACAUCUUUGGCAAACAUUUCCUCAAACAAUAACUCCGCUGCUUCCAAAUCCAUACACUUAGCGUACAUAGAGGUGAAAGCAUUCUUCACUUGAGAAUCAAAGUGGAGGCCAGUUUUAAUUCCAAAUCCAUGAACGGAUUUCCCUUGAAACACAAUCUCCCGCUGCGCACAAGAAGGAAUCAAGCCAACCAACGUCGUCUCGCGAGGAGAAAAACCCUCUCUGAGCAUUUGAACAAAACUCUCCAGUGCAUCAAAAUCAUAUCCAUUACGUGAAUACCCGCAAAUUAGGGCAUUCCAUGCGACAACAUCUCUCUCAGGCAUAUCAUCGAACAACAGUCGUGCAACUUUAACGCAAUUCAAUUUCGUAUACAAGUCAAGGGUAGCUGUAGUUAUAUAAACAAACUGAUCAACACCCGAUUUUACCAUGUGCGUUCGAAUUUGAUCGGCUUCUAGCGUUGGACUAAUUGAAUCAUAAACAGAGAAUAGUGAAGGAGAUGAAGUAGAGGCUUUGAGGAAUAAAGAGAAAGUGAAGUCAUUUGGUUUCAAAUUGAACUGUAACAGUUGGCGGAAAAUAAUCAACGGGGAUUCUGGGUUUUUGCCUUCAAUGCAGGAUUUGAGUAGAGAGUGGAAAAAAGAAAGAGAACUGGAAUUGAUCAGAUUCAUAAGAAUAGAAUCAAAAUAUCCUCUGUUAAGACAAGUCCAAACGGAAAAAAGACAGUCCAAGUCUUCCGCCCAGUUUCAGGAAGUGUUUUAAGUGAAAACUACUUUGAUAUAUAUAUAUACACACACAUAUAUGUUUAUAUAUAUAUAUAUAUAUAUAUAUAGUGGCGAAAGUAGAAAAUUGAGCUUUUCUUCUUUUUCUGAAGAAAGUAGAAAAUUGAGUUAGAGGAGAAAAAUUUGUCAUUCAAAAUAAAUUUGGGUCUGACAUGAUAAAAUAUUAUAUUAUUUCCCGUUUAUUUUUUUUAUUUUUGGUUGAAUGGUAAAUAUUGUUACAAUUUUGUGUGUUUUUAUUAGAUGUUGUUUUAUAAUUAGUAUAUAUGUAUUAAUUAAUUAAUUAAUGUACGAAUUUUUAUUUAAAAAACAUUUAUUUACGUUUUCAUAAAACUUUUUUAUUAAAAAUUAGAGAAAUAAGAUAUUGAAAAAUACUUUUGUUUUAUUUAACGUAAUUCUUUAGUAACUAAAAAAUUAAAGAGAAAAGAAUAAGGGAAUUAGAUAAAAGUUUAAUUUUAUUUGAUAUUAUAUAUUUUUAAUUUCAAAAAAAGAAUGAGAUUAUUCAGUGAUUUUUGAAGAAAAUGAAAAAUUAUUUAUUAAAUUUUAUUACUUUUACAUAAACUCAUGUUUUGGAGGAAUCUCCCCUCCAUAUUACUAAAUUAUUAUUAUUAUUAUUAUUAUUAUAUUGUUAUUAUUACUAUAAGGGCAUUCUUGUCAUUUCAUAUCUUCUCCCAUACAGCAUAGUCCUUUCCGGCGCCGUUUGGAACCAGCUUGAAAUUCGGAGGAAUAAGAUUUCCAAGACCCCCAUUUGGCCCAAUUUUCAUUAUGAUUUUCUCAUCGAUCUCCGCCACGUACAGAUCAGAUUGUGCCGCUAGAAUCUUAACCCUGCUUCUUUCAUUGAUCCCGUGCUUCUUCCUAAUCGCCAAAAUGUUGGUAAUCGGCUCCUUUAAGCCCCACUCAAAGUAAUGAUCAUAAAACUGCAAAAACCAGAACCAGUUUAUUUUUUCCUUGCGAAUUUCAGACCUACCUAAAUACUUUCCGAAUCGGCCGUGGAAUAUGAGUAAAUUAAAGGGUAGAGAACAGGAAGAACUUACAAUGGUGGGAGUGCCAGGGUGGGUGAGGAUAUAAACAUAACCCAGCAUCACUUUAUCACUUGGGAAUUUGCAAAAAUCUUGAGACCAAGUGUCGUGAUUGUCGAUGAACGUCACCGCUUUCUCCGGCAAAACUCCGAGCAAUCCCGGCGGUUUUCCGUCGGUGUUAUUCAACCGGAACAACUCUCCCGUCACCGCAACCUGAAGAGAUUCCUUCAAAGGAAAAUCAAAUGCAGCCACCACUCCGCCGGCAUCCUGAAUCCACUUCCGCAGCUCAUCGCGCUUUCUGUUAUCUCCCGGAGGGAGCUUUUCGUUACAGGGAGGAUGCCAAUACUCUGCAACUGCCAAAUCGGGUUUUGUCCGAUCCACGUAAAUUUUGGUAAUGCUUGGCGCGAACCCUACUGCGUAAUCAAUUCGCCAUCCGCCAUUAAAACCGACUUCUGUUUUCAACCAAUUGAGCCAAUCCGAUAGCUCGUUUUGCACUCUGGGAUUGGUAUGGUCAAUGUCAAUGGCGAAAGGGAAGUCAUCGCCGGUGUCUGGAUUGCCGGUGCCGUGAGGGAAGUUCUUGUCGGUGCUACAGACCAUGGCGGGUCCCCAGUCAAGACGAUCAUCUGGUGUCCCUCCUUCGAAGAAUAUAUCGGUCUCUGUCUGGCGCUCUGGGCUUCUGUGGUUAAUUACAAUGUCAGCCAUGCAUUUUAUCCCGCUUUGAUGAUAAGCUGCAAUGAGUGAGCUGAGUUGAUCCCGAGUUCCGUAGUUUGAGUUGAGAUCAUACAGCUUUGCUGGUUUGUAACCUUGGGGUGCAUCGGCGCCGGAAUUAGAAGGAGGCGGCAGCCAGACAUGAGUAAUCCCGGCAUUAGCAAUAUCAGUAGCAGAGUUCUUCAAGAAAUUGUAUAAUUCUCCUCGUUUUUCCGAUGAGGCCCAAGUGAAACCCUGUUACAUUACACAGCGAAGGAGUCUAACUUCGUAAUAUGGCAAUACCAUGACUAGAAAGAAACCUAGAGAAAACGAAGAAGAAGAUGGAGAGAUACCUGAAACAGAACUGCUGGAGAUACGAAAGCAGGGAAGAUAGAGGAUAAGAGGAAGAGGAAGCAAAGUGAAGUGAUGACUGAACUCAUCUUGUUUUAUUUUGUGUUUGAGUAGAUGCAUAUGAUGGUAUAUUUAUAGGCACAUGAUGGAUCCCAUGUUGAUGACGCUGUAAUAUCUGUUCGUAUGCCACCUUUGGGUAAUUUUCCAUUGACUUUGGAAAUAAUUUUUGGUUAUAUAUAAUACAAUUCAAAAACAAAUUAAUCUUGCCCACAUUGAAAUUUUACAUACAUUAAAAAUAAGAACCAACAAAAAAGAAAAAAAAGAUUUGGAUGAGGUUACUCUUGUUAUAUUUUUGUUCUUAAAUCCUAGUUUGUUUUAUAUAAAAUAAUUAUAGUAAUUUACAUAUUCGAUGCAUAACGAUAUCAAAAUAAUCAUAAUUCAUAUUAUGUUUUUAGUUAUGUUUUACUUAUUUAAUAAAAUAAUUAAUGUUUAUAAAUAUAUUUAUUUCUUUUAUAUCGACUCAAAUUUAUAAUACUAUCAGAGUGAAACAUAAGAUUUAAAAAAGAAUAGAUGUUAAACUUUAUUAGUGACAAAUAAAUUUUUUGCAUGUGAAAAAUCUCAAUAUAAUUUUAAAAAUUAAGAAUUAAUCGCAAAAAUUUUAGACGAUCUAAAAAAUACGAAAUUAUGAUUAACUUUAUAAAUUGUCUUGGGUACUGAGCAUUUACUUAUAAGAAUUAAAUUUCUCGCAAUAACUAGCUGCAACAACUUCAUAACUAGGAAUUUGGUAGAUUAUUUCUUACGUAUAGAAUCAUUCAUAUUUUAAAUUAUAUAUAAUAAAUUUUCUAAUCUCGUAUGUUAAUGAACAAAUUACAAAAACAUCUACUAUGAAUUUAUAUAAUUAAAUUAGAAUUAUGAUUUUAUUUUAUUUUUAUAAAAUUUUAUAUUUUGGAUCUUGUAUGUUUAGAUAAAUAUAUAUUUAUCUAAAAUAUAUACAAUAAGAUGAGAUCGGUUCAAUCUUUUUAGUAACAGAUUAAAUAGACUUUAAUUAUAAUUUAACUAAUAUAUAAUAAUACGAACAGUACUUUAUUGAAAUCAUAUUAACAUAGAAAUCUAGAAACAAAAUAAUAAUAAUAAUAACUAAUACAUGGAUCCUUAACCUUCUGUCGUUCUUCGUGAACGAUUAAUACACGUAUCCUUAAAGUGUUUAAUCCAUUUUAACUUGCGUUUGAUAGUCAAAGUUAUGUUUCUAAAGUCAGUAUAAUCUUCCUUGACAAAACUUGGUUUUAAUUCAACGUAUUCUGGUUGUAAUCUUCAUUUAGAAAAACCAACUCUUUGACUAGAGACUGAUUCGCAGAUUCAUGAUUGUAUAAUACUGUAAAAAUAGAAAAAGGACCCAAAUAUAUAUAUAUAUACAUAUAUGUGUGUGUGUAUAAAGGGGCAAGCUUAAUUAUUUUGAAUUUUCACCAACUUAAUUCGGCAAUUCCUUUCUUGACAAGUUCAAUUUCCAAACUCCAGGUCACAAAGUUUGACUCAAGUGUAUUACACAAAUACAAAUUAGAUUUAUCUUCGUGUCAGCUUAAUUUACAGUAUAAAAAUAAUAUUUAAAUAAAUAUAUAUAUAUAUAUAUAUAAGAAUUAAAUUUAUAAUCUCUCAUAAAUAAAUUAUUUAAUUAACCAAUCGGUAAUCACUUUCUAAUCAUUUUUGAUAAAUUUAUUAUAAAUUAAAACUAAAUACAAUCACGUUAUGCUAUUCGUUACUAAAAUGUGUAUUCACAUAUACUAUGGUUAAACGAAUUAACAGAAUUUUAUUUUUUAUUUAAAUAAGAUGCAAUAAAAAUAAUUUUCUAUUUCUAUUCCGUGUAAUAAUAUUGAUUAAACUAUUUACGGAAUUAAUUAAUUAAUUUCAUUUAAAUUAAAUGUAAUAUAUGAGAUAUAUUGUUAAUGUCACAGUAGUUCGNNNNNNNNNNNNNNNNNNNNNNNNNNNNNNNNNNNNNNNNNNNNNNNNNNNNNNNNNNNNNNNNNNNNNNNNNNNNNNNNNNNNNNNNNNNNNNNNNNNNNNNNNNNNNNNNNNNNNNNNNNNNNNNNNNNNNNNNNNNNNNNNNNNNNNNUUAAUGCACAUCUCUUGUGAUAUGAAAUUUAUUUGUUUUUAAAUAAUUAAAGGAUAUAAAUUAAUUUACAAAUUUAAAAUAGAAACUAACAGGGUUUAGUUCGCCAUCCUCUAUUGAUCUUGAACUUGUUUCUCAUCUCCCUCUCACUUGAAUGAAGAUGAAUUGAGGUGAGUUUCACGUGCUAAGUAAGAAAAAAAAAAUCUAUAAUGUAGGAUUUACGUACAUACAUUCACGCAAUAUAUAAAAUAUAAUAAUUUUUAUCAUCAAAAAAAUGUCAAAUAAGCAUCACAACCAAAAUACAUAAUAAAACAAAUCAUCGCACAAAAUAUAUUUUAAUCUUCACUUUUUAAACCUAAUUCUUGUUAUCUUUUCAAAUUACACUCAUGCAUUCAUAGAUUCUUCAAACAAAAACGGAUUUACUCACACACACAUAUCACUCAACUCGAAUUUAUAAUUUUAUAUUAUUUAGCCUUUUAAAGCUUAAUUAGAUUACCAUCGCGCGAUACCCGUUAUAUCAUUAUCGAAUAUAGGAUCCCUCCAUCGCAUGUAUAACACAAAAAAAAAAAAAUCUCAUAUUGGCCACAGAAGUUACGUUUGCUAGGUGACCUACGCUCAUAAACACAUAUCCACGUAUAGACUAAGUUUCAAACUCUAUCUAUGUGCAGGUUCACCAUACCAGCUGAACUUCAGCCAUACACGCACCUUUCCCUCCUCGAUUUACGACUAACAAAUGACGUGUUUUAUUUACUCUUUACAGUUUUCUUAUGAUUGCCUUCCUAGUGGCUUAUUAAGUCUAUUUCUCUAGCUAACUUACACUUAUCAAUUUCUUUGGUGUUUGUUUUCCAGAUGUAUUUAACUUAUUUAGUUUUUUAUUUAAAAAUCUAAAAUUUAUAUUAAUUUAAGGUAUUAACUUUCCAUGCACAAUUAAAUACAAACAUACAUAUAAUAUACGAUAUUAUCAUGCACAUCAGAACUAUACAUGUCAAAAAACUUUCUGAAUCAUCAUAUAUCAGAUCACACAGCAAGCACAAGAUACUCAAAUUUUUCGCGCAACUGUACCAGAUCAUACAGUAAGUACAGUGCACCAUACAUCUACAUCAGAUCACACAGCUAGUGCAAUGUAUCCAAAUUUCAUAAGUACAUACACUGGUUAUACAUUUUACAUACAUAACAUAUGUACACACAUUUUAAUACACACAUAUAUUAUAAUACAGAUAUGUACCAUCACUACAUGUCUCACACAGAAUAUAUAUUUAUAUUUACAUACACACAAACAAUUUCUAUCGAUAUAUAUACACACGUUCAUAUUUAAACAUGUAUACACAAUCACACACAACAUACCAGAUAUAUAUAUAUAUAUAUAUUUAUUCAUGCAUUUGUUCUUAUUAACUCUAUUCAAAUUAAUUCAUCGUAUAUUUUUAUCUAUAUACACAUAUACAUGCGUAAUAACGUGUAUAUAUACACUAUAUAAAUAUAUACAAAUACAAAUUAAAUAUACUAAUUAUAUUUAUAUUACAUUACCCAUACAUUUAAAUAUUCAUACAUAAUGCAUAUUAUAUAUACACAUUUAUAUAAAUAUAUAAUUUAUGUAUUUGUACAAAAUACGCAUAAUUUUUACCUAUGAUAUGAUCGGAAAAACUUUAAAAAUUAUUUUUACCUUGAUCUACAGUUAUAUCAGAAAUUCGAAUAUGGUUUGAAUAAUUUUAUUCGUUUAUAAUAAAAAAAUACAUAUAUUAAAUUAUGAAUAAUUUUAAAAAUUAUACCGAAAAAUGAAUUUUACCUUGAAACACGUGAUCUCGAUUGUUAACAUUACCACGCGACAUCAUACGCAUGUCACCGAAAAUGUUAUACAAUGAUAAUCGAAUCAACGCGCGUUGUCGCAUGUGACACACCAACAUUUCGCCGCACUUACAUUUUUCUUCCUUAAUUUAAUUAAUUUUUUUAUUUUUUGCCCUUUUUUUAUUUUCUUUCAUCAUUUUUUUUCUUUUAUUCCUUUUUUUUUUUUCUCUUCUCCUUUUUCCUUCCUUCUUCUUCUUCCUCCUUUCCCGUAGCUUCCUUUUUUUUUUUUUUCUUUCUUCUUCCUUUUUCUUCUUCCUUUGUUUUUUUUUUCCUUUCUUCCUCUCUUCUUCUUCUUCUUUUUCUUUUUUUCUCUCUCUCUCUCUCUCUCUCUCUCUCUCUCUCUCUCUCUCUCUCUCUCUCUCUCUCUCUCUCUCUCCUUCCUGCGACGUCUCCCCUUCUGCCGCGUCUCACCUCCGCGACUGCCACUCACUCCUCCUCCUCACGCGGCCACGGCUCCUUCCCUCACUCCGCUCUCCCGGUCCCGAUCCUCACUCAACUUGGCCUCCUCUCUCACCCGCUCGAACUCAGCUCUCUUCCCCU
RNAcentral lists this long non-coding RNA (38693 nucleotides) under Carica papaya (papaya). RNAcentral describes it as "long non-coding RNA (CPAP_LNC008774)". The record is from RNAcentral. Lineage: Eukaryota; Viridiplantae; Streptophyta; Magnoliopsida; Brassicales; Caricaceae.